This 612-nucleotide ribosomal RNA is filed under the name Bacillus sp. FJAT-4404. Its description in RNAcentral is "bacterial SSU rRNA". It matches the Rfam family "Bacterial small subunit ribosomal RNA", at positions 60 to 654 of the family's 1533-position model. The record is from RNAcentral. Lineage: Bacteria; Bacillati; Bacillota; Bacilli; Caryophanales; Bacillaceae.
AGUCGAGCGGACAGAUGGGAGCUUGCUCCCUGAUGUUAGCGGCGGACGGGUGAGUAACACGUGGGUAACCUGCCUGUAAGACUGGGAUAACUCCGGGAAACCGGGGCUAAUACCGGAUGCUUGUUUGAACCGCAUGGUUCAAACAUAAAAGGUGGCUUCGGCUACCACUUACAGAUGGACCCGCGGCGCAUUAGCUAGUUGGUGAGGUAAUGGCUCACCAAGGCAACGAUGCGUAGCCGACCUGAGAGGGUGAUCGGCCACACUGGGACUGAGACACGGCCCAGACUCCUACGGGAGGCAGCAGUAGGGAAUCUUCCGCAAUGGACGAAAGUCUGACGGAGCAACGCCGCGUGAGUGAUGAAGGUUUUCGGAUCGUAAAGCUCUGUUGUUAGGGAAGAACAAGUGCCGUUCAAAUAGGGCGGCACCUUGACGGUACCUAACCAGAAAGCCACGGCUAACUACGUGCCAGCAGCCGCGGUAAUACGUAGGUGGCAAGCGUUGUCCGGAAUUAUUGGGCGUAAAGGGCUCGCAGGCGGUUUCUUAAGUCUGAUGUGAAAGCCCCCGGCUCAACCGGGGAGGGUCAUUGGAAACUGGGGAACUUGAGUGCAGAAG